This 869-nucleotide long non-coding RNA is filed under the name Androctonus crassicauda. Lineage: Eukaryota; Metazoa; Arthropoda; Arachnida; Scorpiones; Buthidae. The record is from RNAcentral.
UCAAUCUAAAAACAAUUCCGAACUGAAAAUGCUUAUAUAAAGCAUAAAAUUUUAUCCUUUUAAAAUAAAAUUUAAACUAAGUAUUAAAUUAAAAUAAAUUUUAAAUUUUUAACCGAAUAGCGAAAAGUAAGGUUAACGUGUGUCACGUGAUUACAAGGAUGGGGUAUGAUUGGUAGUUUAUUUCGUUUUGGAGCUACGAUAACUUUAUAUGGAUCGGAACUCCGAUCUUAUACAACGGCGAAACAUACGAUAUAAUCUGUAUUGGGAUAUUUAUACUGUAUCGGAAAGUGAAAACUGCUCACCGCAAACUCUCUUAAUAUCUUCUGUAAGCUCUUGUAAUUAUAAUAAAUUCACCGCGGAUCACAAAAAAGUGUCACGUGCUGCGAGUUUGACGUGGCUGCUCUACAUCGAAUCAACACUGUGAGGAAAACUACUAUAAUAUAUUUAUUAAAUAAAACAAGUAAUAAUGAUGAUAGAAUAUAGGCAAGAUUAAAAUAUAAAAUUAGUAAGCCGUCUCAUAUUAUGGAAAUAAGUUUCCAAUUACUCUGAAGAAUCCAAUAAUUUCAUUUUAUUUAAUAUACUGUACAUUAAUUUCUGUCACAGUUCAGUUUGUAUUGUUUAUUCUAAUAUAUCCUUUAGUUAAAAUUUCUAAUAAGGCAAUCGGUGUAGGACUUAUAGCCAUCAACUACAAUCUGUGUGCAAUACUGUACUUUAGUGAUACUAUAUAUUAAUCUUAGUGAAAAAAUAUAAUAUUGGGAUUAUUUAUAAAAAAAUUAUUUAUAUGAAUAAUUUUAAACAUCAAAACUGGAUAUUAAAUUAAUAACUUAGAAGUAAAUUUUAGAUAUGAAUUAAUAUUAUUUUAAUAAUAU